CCUUGACAUCCACGGAAUUUUGGCAGAGAUGCCUUAGUGCCUUCGGGGAACCGUGAGACAGGUGCUGCAUGGCUGUCGUCAGCUCGUGUUGUGAAAUUGUUGGGUUAAGUCCCGCAACGAGCGCAACCCUUAUCCUUUGUUGCCAGCGAUUCGGUCGGGAACUCAAAGGAGACUGCCGGUGAUAAACCGGAGGAAGGUGGGGAUGACGUCAAGUCAUCAUGGCCCUUACGGCCAGGGCUACACACGUGCUACAAUGGCGCAUACAAAGAGAAGCGACCUCGCGAGAGCAAGCGGACCUCAUAAAGUGCGUCGUAGUCCGGAUUGGAGUCUGCAACUCGACUCCAUGAAGUCGGAAUCGCUAGUAAUCGUAGAUCAGAAUGCUACGGUGAAUACGUUCCCGGGCCUUGUACACACCGCCCGUCACACCAUGGGAGUGGGUUGCAAAAGAAGUAGGUAGCUUAACCUUCGGGAGGGCGCUUACCACUUUGUGAUUCAUGACUGGGGUGAAGUCGUAACAAGGUAAGCGUAGCGAG
Molecule: ribosomal RNA, 533 nt
Filed under: uncultured bacterium
Lineage: Bacteria
Description: bacterial SSU rRNA
Rfam family: Bacterial small subunit ribosomal RNA
Source: RNAcentral